Non-coding RNA from Sus scrofa (pig), 72 nucleotides. Lineage: Eukaryota; Metazoa; Chordata; Mammalia; Artiodactyla; Suidae. The record is from Rfam.
UCCCUGGAGGCCUAGUGGUUAGAAUUUGGCACUUUCACUGCCGUGACCCAGGUUCAGUCCCUGGUCAGGGAA